GACGAACGCUGGCGGCGUGCCUAAUACAUGCAAGUCGAACGCUAAGGCCCUGCCUUUCUUCUCUGCUCGAGUUGCGAACGGGUGAGUAACGCGUAAGUAACCUGCCCUUUAGUUGGGGAUAACUACAGGAAACGGUAGCUAAUACCGCAUAGGAGCACCUGCUGCAUGGUGUUGGCUGGAAAGGUUCGACUGCUGCGGUAGGAGUUGCGGCUUCUCAGUUUGUUGGUGUGGUAGUGGUAUCCCAAGGCUUAGACGGGGAGCCGGACUGGGACGGUGACCGGCCACAUUGGGACUGAGGAGCCGGCAGGACUGCAACGGGAGGCAGGAGUGGGGAAUAUUGCGAGAUGGGCGGAAGCCUGAUGCAGCAACGCCGCGUGCGGGAUGACGGCCGUCGGGUUGGAACCCGCGUUCGCCUGUGAAGAAGAGUGAGUGACGGUAAUGGGUAAAGAAGCACCGGCUAACUACGUG
This 468-nucleotide ribosomal RNA is filed under the name uncultured bacterium. RNAcentral's name for it is "partial 16S ribosomal RNA". It matches the Rfam family "Bacterial small subunit ribosomal RNA", at positions 28 to 507 of the family's 1533-position model. The record is from RNAcentral.